Molecule: transfer RNA, 69 nt
Filed under: Ictidomys tridecemlineatus (thirteen-lined ground squirrel)
Lineage: Eukaryota; Metazoa; Chordata; Mammalia; Rodentia; Sciuridae
Description: Spermophilus tridecemlineatus (thirteen-lined ground squirrel) tRNA
Rfam family: tRNA
About the family: Transfer RNA (tRNA) molecules are approximately 80 nucleotides in length. Their secondary structure includes four short double-helical elements and three loops (D, anti-codon, and T loops).
Source: Rfam by way of RNAcentral
GGGGUUGUUGCUUAGUGGUAGAGUGCUUGCCUUGCAUGCAGGAGGCAAUGGGUUUGAUCCUCAACACCA